GUAACCUGCCUUGGAGUGGGGAAGUAACAGCUGGAAACAGCUGCUAAUACCGCAUAAUAUAUCUGGGUCGCAUGGCUCUGGAUAUCAAAGAUUUAUCGCUCUGAGAUGGACUCGCGUCUGAUUAGCUGGUUGGCGGGGUAACGGCCCACCAAGGCGACGAUCAGUAGCCGGACUGAGAGGUUGGCCGGCCACAUUGGGACUGAGACACGGCCCAGACUCCUACGGAAGGCAGCAG
RNAcentral lists this ribosomal RNA (235 nucleotides) under uncultured bacterium. RNAcentral describes it as "partial 16S ribosomal RNA". It matches the Rfam family "Bacterial small subunit ribosomal RNA", at positions 121 to 354 of the family's 1533-position model. The record is from RNAcentral.